RNAcentral lists this ribosomal RNA (207 nucleotides) under uncultured bacterium. RNAcentral describes it as "partial 16S ribosomal RNA". It matches the Rfam family "Bacterial small subunit ribosomal RNA", at positions 568 to 774 of the family's 1533-position model. The record is from RNAcentral.
CACGUAGGCGGAUUGAUCAGUUGGGGGUGAAAUCCCGGGGCUCAACCCCGGAACUGCCUUCAAUACUGUCAGUCUAGAGGUCGAGAGAGGUGAGUGGAAUUCCGAGUGUAGAGGUGAAAUUCGUAGAUAUUCGGAGGAGCACCAGUGGCGAAGGCGGCUCACUGGCUCGAUACUGACGCUGAGGUGCGAAAGCGUGGGGAGCAAACA